UACGAACUGUGCGAACGUUAUUCGGAAUCACUGGGCUUAAAGGGUGCGUAGGCGGCUUCCUAAGUCAGGUGUGAAAUCUUCCGGCUCAACCGGAAAACUGCGCUUGAUACUGGGUUGCUUGAGUGAGGUAGGGGUGUGUGGAACUUCCGGUGGAGCGGUGAAAUGUGUAGAUAUCGGAAGGAACGCCAGCAGCGAAAGCGGCACACUGGGCCUUUUCUGACGCUGAGGCACGAAAGCUAGGGUAGCGAACGGG
RNAcentral lists this ribosomal RNA (253 nucleotides) under uncultured bacterium. Its description in RNAcentral is "partial 16S ribosomal RNA". It matches the Rfam family "Bacterial small subunit ribosomal RNA", at positions 524 to 776 of the family's 1533-position model. The record is from RNAcentral.